This 1524-nucleotide unclassified non-coding RNA is filed under the name Hevea brasiliensis (rubber tree). Lineage: Eukaryota; Viridiplantae; Streptophyta; Magnoliopsida; Malpighiales; Euphorbiaceae. The record is from RNAcentral.
CAUUAUUGCAAAUUAGAGCUUCUCUCGUCGCUAAUUUCUUCAAUUUCGCCUAAGGAGUCUGGUUCAAUGGCUUCGAUGGGAUCUUCUUUUUGGUGCUACAGAUGCAACCGCUCCAUCAGGGUCAGGGUUCGGGCAAUCCAUGAUUCGAUUCUUUGCCCCGACUGUGGCUGCGGCUUCGUCGAGGAAAUUGGAACCCCUUCUCGCUCCCCGCUCCACCAUCAAUUCCCGGCCGCUGCGAUGUACCCAUCUAAUUCGGAUCACAUUACCGCCCCGAGAUUGCGCCGCAACCGUCGGAAUGGCGGAGAUCGCUCCCCUUUUAAUCCUGUCAUCGUCCUCCGUGGGCCUCCAGAUGGUGGUGGCGAGAAUGAGGGAGGUUCCGGGAACUUUGAGCUAUAUUAUGAUGGUGGUGUUGGGUCUGGCCUCCGUCCUUUACCGGCAAGCAUGUCGGAGUUCUUGAUGGGAUCGGGAUUUGAUCAGCUCCUUGAUCAGUUGACUCAGUUGGAAAUCAACGGCGUUGGUCGAUUCGAGCAUCCACCAGCUUCGAAAGCGGCAAUAGAGUCAAUGCCUGUGGUCAAAAUCCUCUCUAGCCAUGUCUCUACGGAACCUCACUGCGCAAUUUGUAAAGAACCAUUUGAACUUAAUACGGAGGCGCGCGAGAUGCCAUGUAAGCACAUUUAUCACUCCGAUUGCAUCCUCCCGUGGUUAUCUCUUCGCAAUUCUUGUCCAGUUUGUCGGCAUGAGCUACCGACAGAUGUGCGUAGAAAUGGCGGUGGGAGUGGCAGGAAUUCACCGGAAUCAGGUUUUGAGACCAUGGGGUUAACGAUAUGGAGACUUCCAGGUGGCGGUUUUGCGGUGGGGAGAUUUUCCGGAGGAAGGAGAGCGGCAGAGAGUGAGCCCCCUGCUGUGUUCACGGAGGUGGAUGGUGGGUUCAACACUGCCGGUGCGCCCAGGAGGAUUUCAUGGGCGCCCAUGAGGAUUUCAUGGGCACCCAGUGGGAGGAGAUCAAGAGAGGGUGGAGGGUUAGGCCGAGCUUUUCGCAAUUUCUUUUCCUUUUUUGAAAGGAUCAGAAGGCGUGUUAGCAAUGAAUCUGGUUUGACGCGAAGAAGUAGAUCAAAUUCAAUGUUGGAUAGGUCCUCAAGGAAUGAAAACUCGCCUUAGGUUAUGCAAGAUAACGAUGGUGAAUUGAAUUGUGUUUAGGUUACUUAUCUAAUUACUGAUAUCAUCAAUUAUUGGAGUCUUCCAUUCCUCAUAAUAAAAGGGAAUAUAUGUACAUACAAUUCAGUUUACUGUAAAUAGCAACAAUCAAGGAAUAUAUGAGGGAUUGUCUGGUAUAAAUUCUGUCAAGGAGAGAAAUUUUGAAAUAUGGUAGGAGAUUAGUUCUCAUUCAUAUUGAAGAUGGAGAAUAAGAAGACUACGAUGAAAGCUGUGCAAUUAGAGUGGGUCUUUAGAAGUUACUGAGGUACAAAUCCUCGUGUGUAACUGUGCUUCUUAUAAUUUAAGGCCUUCUAAGUGUUUCACUAACCC